GAUCCCUGUGCAAAAACUGAAGUGCCUAGCUAUCGAGAAAGUAAAGAAGCCACACGCUGAGAGAUCAUCUCUAUCUGGUCAUCAGCUAAUCUGAUCUCUGAGGGAUGUGCUCUGCUGUCUGGCUGCUGGACUGGAGUGUGCCUCCUAGUAGACUCUGAUGGGCCAGCCUCGGGAUCUGAAAUGAACUGAAUGUCUGGAGAUGCUGCCCU
Molecule: long non-coding RNA, 209 nt
Filed under: Elaeis guineensis (African oil palm)
Lineage: Eukaryota; Viridiplantae; Streptophyta; Magnoliopsida; Arecales; Arecaceae
Description: long non-coding RNA (EGUI_LNC080137)
Source: RNAcentral